GUGAAAGGAGACUCGGCUAAGGUCUUUCGCGUCCUGCGAAAAACGCCGGUCACCUUCGUCCUGGUGUG
This 68-nucleotide non-coding RNA is filed under the name Bacillus licheniformis DSM 13 = ATCC 14580. RNAcentral's name for it is "Bacillaceae-1 RNA". It matches the Rfam family "Bacillaceae-1 RNA". Lineage: Bacteria; Bacillati; Bacillota; Bacilli; Caryophanales; Bacillaceae. The record is from RNAcentral.